AACCUGCCCAAGAGAUCGGGAUAACACCUGGAAACAGAUGCUAAUACCGGAUAACAACAGAUGAUGCCUAUCAACUGUUUAAAAGAUGGUUCUGCUAUCACUCUUGGAUGGACCUGCGGUGCAUUAGCUAGUUGGUAGGGUAACGGCCACCAAGGCGAUGAUGCAUAGCCGAGUUGAGAGACUGAUGGCCACAUUGGGACUGAGACACGGCCCAAACUCCUACGGGAGGCAGCAGC
RNAcentral lists this ribosomal RNA (236 nucleotides) under uncultured Lactobacillus sp. RNAcentral's name for it is "partial 16S ribosomal RNA". It matches the Rfam family "Bacterial small subunit ribosomal RNA", at positions 123 to 355 of the family's 1533-position model. The record is from RNAcentral. Lineage: Bacteria; Bacillati; Bacillota; Bacilli; Lactobacillales; Lactobacillaceae.